UACGGAGGGUGCAAGCGUUAUCCGGAUUCACUGGGUUUAAAGGGUGCGUAGGCGGAUAGGUAAGUCCGUGGUGAAAUCCUGCAGCUUAACUGCAGAACUGCCGUGGAUACUGUCUAUCUUGAAUGUCGUGGAGGUUAGCGGAAUAUGUCAUGUAGCGGUGAAAUGCUUAGAUAUGACAUAGAACACCCAUUGCGAAGGCAGCUAACUACGCGAUAAUUGACGCUGAUGCACGAAAGCGUGGGGAUCAAACAGG
Molecule: ribosomal RNA, 253 nt
Filed under: uncultured bacterium
Lineage: Bacteria
Description: partial 16S ribosomal RNA
Rfam family: Bacterial small subunit ribosomal RNA
Source: RNAcentral